This 253-nucleotide ribosomal RNA is filed under the name uncultured bacterium. RNAcentral's name for it is "partial 16S ribosomal RNA". It matches the Rfam family "Bacterial small subunit ribosomal RNA", at positions 524 to 776 of the family's 1533-position model. The record is from RNAcentral.
UACGAAGGGGGCUAGCGUUGCUCGGAAUGACUGGGCGUAAAGGGCGCGUAGGCGGAUGGCACAGUCAGAUGUGAAAUUCCCGGGCUUAACCUGGGGGCUGCAUUUGAUACGUGUUGUCUUGAGUUCGGAAGAGGGUCGUGGAAUUCCCAGUGUAGAGGUGAAAUUCGUAGAUAUUGGGAGGAACACCAGUGGCGAAGGCGGCUCACUGGACCGGUUCUGACGCUGAAGCGCGAAAGCGUGGGGAGCAAACGGG